This 253-nucleotide ribosomal RNA is filed under the name uncultured bacterium. RNAcentral's name for it is "partial 16S ribosomal RNA". It matches the Rfam family "Bacterial small subunit ribosomal RNA", at positions 524 to 776 of the family's 1533-position model. The record is from RNAcentral.
GACAGAGGGUGCAAACGUUGUUCGGAAUUACUGGGCGUAAAGCGUGCGCAGGCGGUUCUCCAAGUCCGGUGUGAAAGCCCCGGGCUCAACCUGGGGAUGGCAGUGGAAACUAGGGGACUGGAAUCUGGCAGAGGGGGGUGGAAUGCCGCGUGUAGCAGUGAAAUGCGUAGAGAUGCGGCGGAACACCGAUGGCGAAGGCAGCCCCCUGGGCUGAGAUUGACGCUCAGGCACGAAAGCGUGGGGAGCAAACAGG